UUCGUUCCUGACUGAUGACUUGUAGCAUCCAAAUCAAACCUCAACCUUCGCUAAGUUUUGUUUAAUUUAGAUAUACGCUUGUAUAUGGCGUGGUAUAUUCCUGGGCUGUAUCGAGAUAUUAGUUAGAGAUUGGAUUAGUGUUCAAUUUCGUGUAUUGCAUAUUAUUGUCAUAUUUCCGUCUCAUGUUUUUGCUACAUUCUGUCCAGUAAUUAUGACUCCUGAAAUCAACCAAGCAUCGUAAAGAAUGAACAGUACUUGUGUCUCUUGUGGUUAUGGACUUAUGAUUGUGUUCUAUGGCGUGUUCUCGUGUUUGGAAGACGAUAGGUGGGAGAUGGAAGUCCAACACUGUGUUACUGCAAAGCAGUUUGUUAGGGACUUCUGGCUGAAAUUGUGUGAAUGUGUACUCACUGUUACACUGUAUCUGAUGGCACUAUUUGGUUUAUUUUGAUUUGUUCACUGUGAAUUUUACCAUUUGUCUCUUGGUUAAAGUUUAUGUACUCCCAGGUCAUCUUAUCAUGGUUCUAUUGGUUCAGUGUUUAUGUAUUCCCUGUGUGUCUCAUCAUGGUUCUACUGGUUAAUGUUCAUGUAUUCACUUUAUAUCUCAUCAUGGUUCUACUGGUUAAUGUUCAUGUACUGACUGUAUGUUUCUCAUAAGAACUGAAAGAGACUUGCUUUCAAAGUUCAGUGGAUUGAAAUUUGCUAUCAUAAUUUUAAUGGCUCUACUUUGUUAAUGUUAAUCUGCUCACUGUUUUUCUCACAAAAAGUAUAAAAGAUGAAGCGACUCAAAAUGCCAUGUGAUGAAAUUUUUGGUACAAAUGCGUGAUCUAUCACUCGCUCUAUUUUGCGGCAUAUUCUCUGAAUUUUGAUGUUGCAAUGAAAGAGUCACGACUGAUUGUGUGACACAAACACUUAGAUGUCACGGAUGGACGACUACAUUUAUCAACAAUAUAGCGAGUAAUCUAAUUGUUUUAGUAGAAUCAUACUGGUAUACAUAAAGGAAAGUGUCGCUAUAGUUUUCCUUGAUUUGUUGUUUCAUCAACACAACACAAAAAGAAAAUUCCCAUCUAUAGACAAAA
Xenia sp. Carnegie-2017 is the source of this 1076-nucleotide long non-coding RNA. RefSeq lists it as uncharacterized. The transcript is spliced from 4 exons. NCBI's taxonomy places the organism in Eukaryota, Metazoa, Cnidaria, Anthozoa, Malacalcyonacea, Xeniidae. The record is from RefSeq and is a predicted model, not a curated record.